Molecule: long non-coding RNA, 803 nt
Organism: Cyprinus carpio carpio
Lineage: Eukaryota; Metazoa; Chordata; Actinopteri; Cypriniformes; Cyprinidae
Source: Ensembl
CUAGAAACAUACUUCUAACAUGGUUUAAAGUGGUUUUGGCCACUGUCACGCUGGCCUUACCUGGUCUUAGCUGGUUUUCUUUACUGAAUCAACUGGUUUUAGCUGGUUUAGUAUAGAAAAAUGAAAACAACAUGCUAGUUACUCACUAAUCAGACUAGAAACAUGCUUUUAACAUGGUUUUAAAGUGGUUUUGGCCACUGUCACGCUGGCCUUAGCUGGUUUUAGCUGGUUUUCUUUACUGAAUCAACUGGUUUUAGCUGGAUUAGAAUAGAAAAAUGUUAACAACAUGCUAGUAACUUGCUUAUCAGACUAGAAACAUACUUCUAACAUGGUUUAAAGUGGUUUUGGCCACUGUCACGCUGGCCUUAGCUGGUCUUAGCUGGUUUUCUUUACUGAAUCAACUGGUUUUAGCUAGAUUAUCAUAGAAACAUGUUAACAACAUGUUAGUAACUUGAUAAUCCGGUUAGAAACAUGCUUUUAACAUGCUUUUAACAUGGUUUUAAAGUAGUUUUGGCCACUGUCACGCUGGUCUUAGCUGAAACAUGCUAGUCACUUGCUAAUCAUGCUAAAAAAAUACUAGUCACUUUGCUAAUCAUGAUAACAAAAUGCUAGUCACUUUGUUAAUCAUGCUAAAAACAUGCUAGAAACAUGCUACAAACAUGCUAGUCAUGCUAGCAACAUGCUAGAGACAUGCUAGUCAUGUUAACAGCAUGCUAGUCACUUGCUACUUAUGCUAGCUACAUGCUAAUAAUGCUAACAACAUGCUAGUCUCUUGUUAAUCAUGGUAACAACAUGCUAGUAAC